AGCGAACGCUGGCGGCCGGCUUAACACAUGCAAGUCGACCGGGCAUCGCAAUCUGUCAGUGGCAGUCGGGUUAGUAACGCGUGGGCACGUACCUUUUGGUUCGCUACAACACUGGGAAACUUUUGCUAAUACCGGUUUUGCCCUUACCGGGAAAGAUUUUUCGCCGAAAGAUCUUACCACUUCUGAUUCUCUAGGUGGUAGUGUUAUCGCAUACCAAGGCCACGAUCAGCUUCUGGGCUGAGAGGAAGAUCAGCCACAUUGGGACUGAGACACGGCCCAAACUCCUACGGGAGGAAGAAGUGGGGAAUAUUGGAGAAUGGGAGAAAGCAUGAGCCAGCAAUGCCGCGAGAGUGAUGAAGGCCCUAGGGUUGUAAAGCGCAAGUGUGCGGGAAGAUAAUGACGGUACCGAAAGAAUAAGCCCCGGCUAACUUCGUG
RNAcentral lists this ribosomal RNA (435 nucleotides) under uncultured bacterium. Its description in RNAcentral is "partial 16S ribosomal RNA". It matches the Rfam family "Bacterial small subunit ribosomal RNA", at positions 29 to 507 of the family's 1533-position model. The record is from RNAcentral.